This 289-nucleotide signal recognition particle RNA is filed under the name Cervus hanglu yarkandensis (Yarkand deer). Its description in RNAcentral is "Metazoan signal recognition particle RNA (ENSCHYG00000011124.1)". It matches the Rfam family "Metazoan signal recognition particle RNA". Rfam says of the family: The signal recognition particle (SRP) is a universally conserved ribonucleoprotein. The record is from Rfam by way of RNAcentral. Lineage: Eukaryota; Metazoa; Chordata; Mammalia; Artiodactyla; Cervidae.
GCCGGGCAUGGUGGCGUGUGCCUGUAGUCCCACCUGCUUGGAAGGCUGAGGCUGGAGGAGAACCCAGGAGUUCUGGGCUGUGGUGCACUGGCCGAUCAGGUGUCUGCACUGAGUUUGGCAUAUGGAUACCUCCCGGGAGCGGGGAACCACUAGGUUGCCUAAGGAGGGGUGAACUGGCCCAGGUCAGAAAUGGAGCAGGUCCAAACUCCCAUGCGGAUCCGUAGUGGGGUCAUGCCUGUGAAGGGCCACUGCAUUCCAGUCUGGGUAACAUAGAGAGACUCUGUCUCUA